RNAcentral lists this ribosomal RNA (465 nucleotides) under uncultured bacterium. RNAcentral describes it as "partial 16S ribosomal RNA". It matches the Rfam family "Bacterial small subunit ribosomal RNA", at positions 28 to 507 of the family's 1533-position model. The record is from RNAcentral.
GACGAACGCUGGCGGCGUGCUUAACACAUGCAAGUCGAACGGAAAGGCCCCUUUGGGGGUACUCGAGUGGCGAACGGGUGAGUAACACGUGAGUAACCUGCCCUUGACUUCGGGAUAACUUCAGGAAACUGGGGCUAAUACCGGAUAGGAAUCCUUGCUGCAUGGUGGGGGUUGGAAAGCUUCGGCGGUUUUGGAUGGACUCGCGGCUUAUCAGCUUGUUGGUGGGGUAGUGGCUUACCAAGGCUUUGACGGGUAGCCGGCCUGAGAGGACGACCGGCCACAUUGGGACUGAGAUACGGCCCAGACUCCUACGGGAGGCAGCAGUGGGGAAUAUUGCACAAUGGGCGGAAGCCUGAUGCAGCAACGCCGCGUGCGGGAUGACGGCCUUCGGGUUGUAAACCGCUUUCAGCAGGGGCGAAGCUUGUGGUGACGGUACCUGCAGAAGAAGCACCGGCUAACUACGUG